RNAcentral lists this ribosomal RNA (664 nucleotides) under uncultured bacterium. RNAcentral describes it as "bacterial SSU rRNA". It matches the Rfam family "Bacterial small subunit ribosomal RNA", at positions 56 to 715 of the family's 1533-position model. The record is from RNAcentral.
UGCAAGUCGAGGGGCAGCGGGAGUAGCAAUACUUGCCGGCGACCGGCGCACGGGUGCGUAACACGUAUAUAAUCUACCUGAAACUGGAGGAUAGCCCGAAGAAAUUCGGAUUAAUACUCCAUAACAUUGCGAGAUGGCAUCAUUUUGCAAUUAAAGCUCCGGCGGUUUCGGAUGAGUAUGCGUUCGAUUAGCUAGUUGGUGAGGUAACGGCUCACCAAGGCGACGAUCGAUAGGGGUACUGAGAGGUUACACCCCCACACUGGUACUGAGACACGGACCAGACUCCUACGGGAGGCAGCAGUAAGGAAUAUUGGACAAUGGUCGCAAGACUGAUCCAGCCAUGCCGCGUGCAGGAUGACUGCCCUAUGGGUUGUAAACUGCUUUUGUACGGGAAUAAACCCCUCUACGUGUAGAGGGCUGAAUGUACCGUAAGAAUAAGGAUCGGCUAACUUCGUGCCAGCAGCCGCGGUAAGACGAAGGAUCCAAGCGUUAUCCGGAUUUAUUGGGUUUAAAGGGUGCGUAGGCGGAUUGAUAAGUCAGUGGUGAAAGCCUGUUGCUUAACAACAGAACUGCCAUUGAUACUGUCAAUCUUGAAUAUGUUUGAUGUGGGCGGAAUAUGACAUGUAGCGGUGAAAUGCUUAGAUAUGUCAUAGAACACCGAUUG